AGCGGGGUAGAGCAGUUUGGCAGCUCGCCGGGCCCAUAACCCGGAGGUCGUUGGUUCGAGUCCAACCCCCGCAACCA
This 77-nucleotide transfer RNA is filed under the name Patescibacteria group bacterium. RNAcentral's name for it is "tRNA-Met". It matches the Rfam family "tRNA". Rfam says of the family: Transfer RNA (tRNA) molecules are approximately 80 nucleotides in length. Their secondary structure includes four short double-helical elements and three loops (D, anti-codon, and T loops). Further hydrogen bonds mediate the characteristic L-shaped molecular structure. tRNAs have two regions of fundamental functional importance: the anti-codon, which is responsible for specific mRNA codon recognition, and the 3' end, to which the tRNAs corresponding amino acid is attached (by aminoacyl-tRNA synthetases). tRNAs cope with the degeneracy of the genetic code in two manners: having more than one tRNA (with a specific anti-codon) for a particular amino acid; and 'wobble' base-pairing, i.e. permitting non-standard base-pairing at the 3rd anti-codon position. The record is from RNAcentral.